AUCGCUUAAUUAAAUAACUUAAUUAUGGUAAGCUGAUAGUAAACACCAAAUAUAUUUUUACCUUACCCAACCCCCCUCUCUCUCUCCGCCUGUCUCGCACACAAGGGAAGGGGAAAUAAGGAAAGGGAUUACAAGAUAGGUGCAUAUUUUGGAAGAUGGAUUCGGGCGAGGCCUUUGUUCCGAGGAGGCGGACCAGACAACAAUGGGAUAAAUACUUUCUUGAGUUGUUUGAGAAAAAGAAGGGGUUGAGUCAAAGUGGUAAUCCUUCCGAGACUUGUUGGAUGAAAACAGAAGAUGAAAAAAAGGACAAAGGAAAAAACAGUGUGAACGAUAGGAAGAAGGUGAAAAUGUUUGAUGAUAAGGAAGGUAGUGAAAGAGACAUCAUUAUCAUUAAGUAGACUGAGAAGGGCUUAAGUAUUUUCUUUUAGUAGUACUUGUAAUGGUGAUAAGUUUUAACAGGAACAAUGAAAUCUAUUAUAGUUAAGGCUACUUCCUCCGGUCCA
This is a non-coding RNA of Nicotiana tabacum (common tobacco), 503 nucleotides long. NCBI's taxonomy places the organism in Eukaryota, Viridiplantae, Streptophyta, Magnoliopsida, Solanales, Solanaceae. The record is from RefSeq and is a predicted model, not a curated record.